Molecule: non-coding RNA, 73 nt
Organism: Bos taurus (domestic cattle)
Lineage: Eukaryota; Metazoa; Chordata; Mammalia; Artiodactyla; Bovidae
Source: Rfam
UCCCUGGUGGUCCAGUGGUUAAGACACUGCACUUUCAAUGCAGGGGGCCCAGGUUCGACCCUUGGUCAGGAAA